Molecule: small RNA, 77 nt
Filed under: Xanthomonas campestris
Lineage: Bacteria; Pseudomonadati; Pseudomonadota; Gammaproteobacteria; Lysobacterales; Lysobacteraceae
Also listed under: 4 other names
Description: sRNA sX9
Rfam family: Xanthomonas sRNA sX9
Source: RNAcentral
AUGUGCCACGCGUACACUCCGGUUCCGGGCGCGCCUUCCGUAUCCACCUGGCGACUGCCCGUUACGUUUUGUCAGCC